Chiroxiphia lanceolata (lance-tailed manakin) is the source of this 926-nucleotide long non-coding RNA. RefSeq lists it as uncharacterized. The transcript is spliced from 3 exons. The record is from RefSeq and is a predicted model, not a curated record. Lineage: Eukaryota; Metazoa; Chordata; Aves; Passeriformes; Pipridae.
GGGAGACUUCAUGAACACUGUGCUAACAAGUUGCAGAAUGAAUUCAAAACCCCCUCGGUUUUUGUGGGAGGGACCAAAGAUGGGAAAAGGAAGGGGUCAAGAUGACUUUUGAGCAAGUCUGGGAAACUGAUUUAGGGCAUAAAAGGGGCUGGUCGUGUGGCAACAGGUUGCUGGUGUGUGUUCUUGUCUGUUAACUCCAUUUCUUACCCUCUCCUGGCAGAAGGGACUCCAUUCUAUGUGCUUAUGUGCACAGAGGUCUAGUGGCCAGCAAUGGAAGAGUGAGGUGGUGUGUUGCUCUGUGAAUAGCAAGCUGGAUUUAGCCACCGAGUAGCACAAGGGGCCUGGGAGUCAGGCUACUCUGCUACCACUCAGGAAAGGAGUUCUGAGAGCUGUUCCAAUUCUGUGGGUAUUCAGCCUUGCUGCCCCUGUCCUCCCUGAGCAAGCAAAAAUACCAAUUUAACAGCAAAAGCAUAGAGCAAAACAUGAGGCAGCAGGGUAACGGCCUGGCUGGGGCUGGCUGCACUCACCGUUCAUGGGCAUCUCGUCUAUCUGGGUGGAGUAGUACUGCUCGAUGUCCCGCAGGAUGCGAAUGUCGUCGUUCUUCACAAAGUUGAUGGCGACACCUUUCCGGCCGUACCUGCCUGACCGGCCAAUUCUGUGGAGGCAGAUGGAGAGAGGGAAUGGAGCCACCUUGGGUAAGAGUCACCCAGCAGCACUCCCCCCUGCAAAGGCUCAAUGUACCUGUGUAUGUAGAGUUCUCUGUUGUUGGGCAAGUCGUAGUUAAUGAUCAGGGACACCUGGGGCACAUCCAGGCCUCUGGCCCAAACAUCUGUCGAAAUAAGGACUCGGCUGGAAAGAGAAGGGACAAUUAGGACUGUUCUACCCAACUGAGAAGGGGGUGAGAGCUGAGAACCCUUAGUCUCCAG